GCGGCUGCGCGCUUCACACAUGCAAGUCGAGCGAUGGCGCCGGUUUUCGGAUCGGUGUGCAGAGCGGCGGACGGGUGAGUAAGUGCACAGUACUGCCACCGCGUGGUGGGUAACCCUGGAGGACUGGAAGGAAUACCUCGGGUCCCUAAUCUCUCGUGCAUGGAUGGUGGGAAAGGGGUGCUGUAUCUCGAGGGUGGGUUCCUUGGGCGGAGGGGCUCGCGCAGCCUCAGCUUGAUGGUGCGCUGAGCGGGCAAGGCUACGAUGACGGGUAGCCGGCCUGAGAGGGUGAUCGGCCACACUGGGACUGAGACACGGCCCAGACUCCUACGGGAGGCAGCAGUGGGGAAUUUUGCGCAAUGGGCGAGCAACUCGCAGCGAGACGUGUGGCGCGGGACGAGGGCCCGGGUAUUGUAAACCUCUUUCGGCCCUGACGAUGAUGACGGUAGGGGCUAAACGGAAGCCGGCUAACUACGUGCCAGCAGGCGCCGUAAUACGUAGGGCGCGAGCGUUGUCCGGAUUUACUGGGCGUAAAGGGCUCGUAGGCGGUUUGUUCGCGCGGUCGUGUGGAAAUCUGGCUUAAGGGCACUCGUGCGGCCGAUACCCGGAGAGUCAGGGCGGGUAGGGGCAAGCGGAAUUCCUGGUGUAGCGGUGAAAUGCGCAGAUAAGUCGAGGCACCGAAAUCGAAGGCGCAGCGCUGGUUGCCGUUCCUGACGCUGAGGAGCAGCGAAGUGGCGAAGUAGCAGGAUUAGAGAAAAGGUCCGCAGCGAGAAGGCUAUUGCG
Molecule: ribosomal RNA, 780 nt
Filed under: Actinopolyspora sp. VITSDK2
Lineage: Bacteria; Bacillati; Actinomycetota; Actinomycetes; Actinopolysporales; Actinopolysporaceae
Also listed under: 1 other name
Description: bacterial SSU rRNA
Rfam family: Bacterial small subunit ribosomal RNA
Source: RNAcentral